UGAGUCGCCCAGGCGGCCGCUCGCGGAGCCUUCACGGGCCGAGCGGGAGGAAAGUCCGGGCUCCACGGGUCAGGGUGGUUGCCAACGGCAACCGGUCGCGAGGCCAGGGAAAGCGCCACAGAAAACAAACCGCCGCGCGGCGCGUGAGCGUCGCACGGUAAGGGUGAAACGGUGCGGUAAGAGCGCACCGCGGGCUUGGUGACAAGUCCGGCACGGCAAGCCCCACCCGGAGAAAGACCAAAUAGGAGAGGCGUUGCCGCUGACCCGCGGCGUGCGCAAGCCAAGCCUCUCGGGUAGGUCGUUCGAGGCGGCGCGCGAGCGCCGUCCCAGAGAAAUGGUCGCCGCGCCGGAGGCGACUCCGGCGGACAGAACCCGGCUUACACGGGCGACUCAUGCC
Molecule: RNase P RNA, 397 nt
Filed under: Planctomycetota bacterium
Lineage: Bacteria; Pseudomonadati; Planctomycetota
Description: Planctomycetes bacterium (bioreactor metagenome) RNase P RNA component class A
Rfam family: Bacterial RNase P class A
About the family: Ribonuclease P (RNase P) is a ubiquitous endoribonuclease, found in archaea, bacteria and eukarya as well as chloroplasts and mitochondria. Its best characterised activity is the generation of mature 5'-ends of tRNAs by cleaving the 5'-leader elements of precursor-tRNAs.
Source: RNAcentral